UACGUAGGGGGCUAGCGUUGUCCGGAAUCAUUGGGCGUAAAGCGCGCGUAGGCGGCCAGAUAAGUCCGGUGUGAAAGUCACAGGCUCAACCUGUGAAUGCCGCUGGAAACUGUCUGGCUAGAGUCCGGAAGGGGCGAGUGGAAUUCCUGGUGUAGCGGUGAAAUGCGCAGAUAUCAGGAGGAACACCGGUGGCGAAGGCGGUUCUCUGGGCCUGUACUGACGCUGAGGAACGAAAGCGUGGGGAGCGAACAGG
Molecule: ribosomal RNA, 253 nt
Filed under: uncultured bacterium
Lineage: Bacteria
Description: partial 16S ribosomal RNA
Rfam family: Bacterial small subunit ribosomal RNA
Source: RNAcentral